GGACUACACGGGUUUCUAAUCCUGUUUGCUCCCCACGCUUUCGCGUCUCAGCGUCAGUUGCCGUCCAGAAGGGCGCCUUCGCCACUGAUAUUCCUCCCGAUCUCUACGAAUUUCACCUCUACACCGGGAAUUCCCCCUUCCUCUCCAGCACUC
This 153-nucleotide unclassified non-coding RNA is filed under the name uncultured fungus. RNAcentral describes it as "sequence contains ITS1". Lineage: Eukaryota; Fungi. The record is from RNAcentral.